GUCAGCAGCCAUAUCACCCUGCAGCCCAAGACUGGUUGCCCACUGAAGCUAAGCAGGGUUGAGCCUGGUCAGUACCUGGAUGGGAGACCUCCUGGGAAAACUAGGUUGCUGCUGGAA
This is a ribosomal RNA of Sinocyclocheilus rhinocerous, 117 nucleotides long. The record is from Ensembl. NCBI's taxonomy places the organism in Eukaryota, Metazoa, Chordata, Actinopteri, Cypriniformes, Cyprinidae.